AUGGCGUCGGCGGCGGCGGCGGCGCUGGCGGCGGCGGGGAAGCGACAGUUAUCCGAGGACGACCUGUACCUCAUCCUCCACAAGUACUCGCCGGCGACGAUCCUGACGGCGCUGCAGGAGGUGACGCAGCACGCGCAGCGGAGGAGCAUCGACUGGCGGGCGCUGGUGGCCAAGACGGCCACGGGGAUCACCUCCGCCCGCGAGUACCAGAUGCUCUGGCGCUACAUCGCCUACGGGCACGACUUCGUCGAGAACGUCGAGGACGGCAGCCCCCAGCCGCUGGGUGAUGAGAGCGACUUGGAGUGUGAGAUUGAACCAUCUCCUAAGCCGAGCAACGAAGCCGCAGCUGAGGCCUCACGGUUCGCCAAGAUCUUGAUGUAUGGACCUUCACGCGAGCAAGGUUCUAGUCAUCGUGCUAACUCAGAUGUUCCUCUGCUAAACACUCCAAAUGAAAAGAUACCACGCGUUUCAUCUGACAAACAGCUUGCUCAGAGCCAUCGUCUAACAAAUGGUACAGGUCCAGUUUCCAACUCAAAGCAGGCACCCCAUACAGGGUUAUCUCCUGAUUCUUUUGAUGGGAAUGGACCUCAUAAUAAAAAGACAAAGAAGACUAAAGCAUGGACUAAGGAUGAGGAUGCAGAGUUAAGGGCUGGUGUACAUAAGUGUGGUGAAGGAAAUUGGCUGGACAUUCUGCGUAAAUAUAACUUCGAUAGCACAAGAACUUAUGGUCAAUUGUCUCAGAGAUGGGCAGUAAUUAGCAGGCGUCAAGCAACAACCAAGCCUGCUAAAGCUAAACCAGUCACCGGGGGAUAUGAUAUGAAAGCUACUCAAAAGGCAUUCUUUAUGGCUCUUGAUAUGCCUAUGGGGAAGCCUGGUGGAUUGUCUACAUUAAGAUCAGGAGCUUCACAACAAAGCACUCAACAUCCUGCUCCAGUAUUUGGUGCUGCGGCACCUGAGUUAAAAUCUGCAACAUCCUCUUCAUCAUUCUCGUUGCCAGUACCAGUGCCAAGUGCAGCCCCUGGGCCUGUGUCAGCACAAGUGCAGGUUCAACCUCCUCGGGCGCAACAAGUUCCUUCUCAAGCUGCGCCCUCAAAAGUGUCAAAUGCUUCAAUCAAGUCACGGAAUAGCUCUAAGAAGCAAACUGCACAAGCAAAUCCUACAAAUGCUCCUUCCUCUAUACAAGCUGCAGCUAUUGCUGCCGGUGGACGAAUCGCCACAGCAAGCAUCGCCACCAAUUUAUUGAAAGCUGCACAAUCCCCGCAAGCUGUGCACAUAAGAUCUCGAGGAAAAGGGUCUUCAAAAACUUCUACAAGCUCUAAAGCCUCCACCAUGGCUGGUGAGCCUGGAACACAGACUGGCGGUGCUCAACACCCAGAACUUCCAAACUGCAGUGCCCCUACACAAUCUCCUACGGUUUUGAUAACACAGUCAACCGAGCAAGUUAAUGUUGUACCAGAAGUUGCAGGAGUUAAUCCCCCGGAACAAUCUGCUAGUGCACAUUUGUUGGAACCUGAUAGAACAUUGAGCACCACACCAGUGCCUGGCCCAUGCGACAAUAUGGAGAUUGAUGAUGACUCAACAUUUUGUGUAGUCACGAUGGAGGACUUGUUUCCUGAAGACGUGAAGCAGCCAGAGACAGUGAAGCAGCCAGAGAUGGUGAGGCAGCCAGAGACAGUGAGGCAGCCAGAGAUGGUGAGGCAGACAGAGACGGUGAGUCAGCCAGAGAUGGUGAGGCAGACAGAGACGGUGAGGCAGCCAGAGAUGGUGAAGCAGCCAGAGACGGUGAGGCAGCCAGAGAUGGUAGAUCCCAAAGCCGAGGAGAUGAUAGAUCCCAAGGAUGCUGACAUGCUGGAGUUCGAUCGCUUUGUUGCCCAAGGAUGCUUGACUACAGAUUAUUCUGAUAAAAGCAAAGGUGUCAAAAUUGCUCCUGGAGCUCAAGGAGCUACUGCCAGCCAGAAGAAGAAGCAGCUACCCACAGUUGGGAAAAACAUCCCUGUGUUUAGAGCACCAGUAACCAUGAAGAAGACCAAAGCUCUACCUUCACAUGGGGCGACGCUUGCAUCAACUGUCGCCUCUAGUGGCCUUGUUGGCACAGGCAAUGCUGGUGUGCUGAGUAAAGCAAUAUAUCGGAAGCCAGCUGGUCCAGGCACCACAGGCAAACAAAAUAGGUGCCAAGAAAUUAUGGCUCAGAAGCAGCAUGCUAUGAACUCAAAUAGUAGCGCAAUGGCCAGGAAUGCGGCUGCCGGCACCGGAACACCAGCCAGGAAUGUGGCUGCCGGCGCUGGAGCACCAGCCAGGAAUGCGGCUCCCGCCACCGGAACACCAGCUAAAAGUGCGGCUCCUGCCACCGGAACACCGGCUAAAAAUGCGGCUCCUGCCAGUGGAACACCAGCCAGGAACACAGCUCCUGGCACUGGAACACCACCAGUCAGGAACACGGCUCCUGGCACUGGAACACCACCAAUCAGGAACAUGGCUCCCGGUACUGGAACACCAUCAGUCAGGAACACGGCUACCGGCACUGGAACACCACCAGUCAGGAACACGGCUCCCGGCACUGGAGCACCACCAGUCAGGAACACGGCUCCCGGCACUGGAACACCACCAGUCAGGAACAUGGCUCCCGGCCCUGGAACACCUGCAGUCAGGAACACGGCUCCUGGCACUGGAACAGCAGCCAGGAACUCGCUUACUGGCACCGGAACGCCACAGGCCAGGAACUUGCUCACCGGCACAGGAACACCACCAGCUAGGAAUGCGGCUCCUGUCACCGGAGCAACACCAGCCAGGAACUUGCUUACCGGCACGGGAACACCACCAGCCAUUCGUCAACAUAACCCAGCGGUGAAUGGGGCUAGCAAGGGGAAUCCGCCGGCCAGCCAAUAG
This 2886-nucleotide ribosomal RNA is filed under the name Triticum aestivum (bread wheat). RNAcentral describes it as "partial small subunit ribosomal RNA". Lineage: Eukaryota; Viridiplantae; Streptophyta; Magnoliopsida; Poales; Poaceae. The record is from RNAcentral.